AUUUAUCCAAAUUAUAUUUCAUUGUGUAGAUUGAAGAAGGUUAGUGUGACCAAAGCUUUAGAAUUCUUGUGGCUGAAUUUGCUCAUUUUCUUAAUAGUGUCGUCAAACUUGUUAGGUAGAAAGUAGCAAAAUAAGAGGAUUUCUUGACUACAAAGAAAAAAAAUCCGAAAAAUAGCAUCAAAGAUGAGGUUACAAAACAAAGAACUGUAGCACUUACUUAUACUAUUAUUCUAUUCCAACCAAUCAACAAUUUCCACUUAUUAAUAGUUCAUUCAUAUCCAUUUUCAAUACAAUGAAUUUUAUUUAUUGUU
Molecule: long non-coding RNA, 311 nt
Filed under: Physcomitrium patens
Lineage: Eukaryota; Viridiplantae; Streptophyta; Bryopsida; Funariales; Funariaceae
Description: long non-coding RNA (PPAT_LNC011074)
Source: RNAcentral